RNAcentral lists this long non-coding RNA (784 nucleotides) under Equus caballus (horse). RNAcentral's name for it is "lncRNA (ENSECAG00000054089.1)". The record is from RNAcentral. Lineage: Eukaryota; Metazoa; Chordata; Mammalia; Perissodactyla; Equidae.
AUUAAUUAAAUAUCACAGGCUCCAGGGAAGAAGCCAGGCAGGGAGGCUUGGCAGCUGGCCUCUCUGGAGUAGCAGCUCCUUCUGGAGCAGCAAGAAAGACCAACACGGAUCGUGCCCCAUGGUGCACAUGCAGCAGUGGGAAGAUCCCCAGACUUCAAGACACAUGUCUAUGAACCAGAGCGAUAGCCUGGAUAGCAGAGCCUCCAGACUCAGUGGCCAGGAAGAGAAGAUUCUGGAUAUGAAAGGUCUUAGGCCCUGACAAGGAAAAUGAGUGAUGAAUUAUGCAGGCAGCGAGCUCCAAUCUGACUUCUGUGAUGUGUGCGGCUAUCAUUGCACAAACUAUUUCGUCCCCCGGAUCCAGGAAAUGUGGUUUUACACUUGCUCAGACGUCUUUACAAAAGGGUGACAGCAGAUUUCAUAAGUAGAGAGAAACAAGAAAACUGGACUGUUUUUCCAGAAACAGCGUGAGCUGGGAUGCCCGCCUCCUCCUGGCCCCUCCGAGUGUGGACUCAGCUCCCUCACCCAUGUUGGGCUGGAGGCCAUGGUGUCAGCCCCAACCGAGAAAUCAGGUCUGGUUCCUUCCCACAACGAUGGCCAUUCAUCAGGCGUGACACUCAGUGACUCAGGGGACAGGAAAUGGGAUGUGGCAUCUCCUGUCGGAGAUUCCGAGAGUCGGAGUCCAUCUGCAGCAUGGGCAUCCCCGAGUAAGAUGAGAUGGAAUUCAUUUAUUCAGUGCUUCCUUCCACUAGUAUUUAUUAAAUGCCUAUUUUUUUUGACAGUCACU